Molecule: long non-coding RNA, 1100 nt
Filed under: Homo sapiens (human)
Lineage: Eukaryota; Metazoa; Chordata; Mammalia; Primates; Hominidae
Description: non-protein coding HOXC-AS2:2
Source: RNAcentral
GCCGUACUCCAUUUGCUUUCAUUUUCCUUCUCCCCCUGAAAUGGGCUCAUUUCACCUCUCCACUGCCCUCUUCCCCUCCCCGCCCCCUCCCUGGUUCCCCUCUACUUUCCCCCCUUCUCUCUCCUGAUCCCUCUUUGUUGGGAAAAACACACCCACACACAACUCCUCCUAGCUAAGGCCUGCGCUGGAAGCAGAAACUGAGUUCUCUUGGCCUGCCGCGAGGAAACCCGCGUCCUGCCCCCACCCAAGGAAAUUUGCAGUGACUUUGGAGCCCAGACUGAGGAAGCGGAGGUGGCGAAAGGAGAGACAAUACGAGCCCGAAGUACAAUUAAGGGGCCAGAGCCGCUCGUCUCUCCCCCGCCCUCCCUGCCCGACUGCGAGCUGUCUGGCCUCAAACCUCAGGGCGACACGCGAACCUGGAGCCGGAAACUCAGCCCGUGGCAGAGGGAGUCAGAGGACUCUGCAUCCAGAAAACAGAAGCAAAGCGCCCUUCCAACUUGGGGACGCCUUAACCAGCCCCUCUCAGUUGCAGAUAACCCAAUGAAUGAAAGUGCAAAUUCCGCCGUUUUUCCCGAUUUUUUUUCCAGCCUUGGGAAGGAGAGCUCAGGGUUUGGGGCGUCUCAGACAGAAAGGCAAACCGCAUCUCCUGAGGCAGACAGACCCACAACAUGAGUGUGAGCCUGAGAUCACAUACAGGUUCAACAUUUCCCGAGGCCUCUUUGCCAGGCCCGGCGGGCGCCGAUCUCCCUACCUUCUCUCCCUCCAGGGCCUCAGGCAGAGAGACCCAGAAGACUCUGUCCCUCUGGUUUGGUCCAAUCCCGCUUCGGAAGCGCCUUCGUUACCUGGUCCUUCGCUCCCCACGGCCAUAGAUACAGGACAGGCGGCUCCCGCCUGGGGAGGGAAGCCCCGGCCACCACGGCCGCCGCCGCCCGCCCUCCUUCCCUCCCUCCCUCCUUCUCGCCCUCCCUCUCUCUCCCUCCCUCGCGCGCUGCCGCUCGCGGGGCCCUCCCGCGGGCAACCUGGUCUGGACCAAAUCCAGGUAUAUCCGAAAGAGAGAAAAAAGAAAGGACCUUUUACGCGGAAAAGAAAAGACAGAAAGA